Topomyia yanbarensis is the source of this 2642-nucleotide long non-coding RNA. RefSeq lists it as uncharacterized. Lineage: Eukaryota; Metazoa; Arthropoda; Insecta; Diptera; Culicidae. The record is from RefSeq and is a predicted model, not a curated record. The transcript is spliced from 3 exons.
GUUCCCUUGGCCAAAAUCUUUCAACCGAUACAAAAAAACUUGUUUAUUUGCUCUCGCUACUUUUCAUCGGGUUGCUUUAUUGCACAGAAUCAUAUCCCGGCUCUAAACCAGCGUCGGCGUUUAACGAAAAAAGGCAAUUAAAUGAUUUGCAUUCCAACUGAAAUACUAAUGGUCCCGAAUUGCAGCCGUUCCUUCUAUUCGCCCGGUUGAAAACACUGUGCGUUUAAGUCGCCCGAAGAAACAUAACAUUCUUUCCAAAGUGAUAUCCGGUUCAUCCACAAUGAUCUCGCAUCACCCGGAUGCUGUCGAUCUCUCUAAAGAUUCAGGCUUUUCAGAACAGUGGCUCAGAUACCCAAAAUCGUUCUGGAUAGAUAAAUUGAGAUCACUUGACGGCGAUAAAAAGGAAUUGGAGAAUGAAUUAUUUCAGAAACGGUUUGAGAUAUCCGCUUUAAAGGAACAAAACUUGAAGCACGUUAAAGAAAAGUUGGCAAUGACUAAACAAAUGAACGAUUUGCGCAAGGUUCGCGAAGAACAUAUCAUUGAUGCGGCUCGUGCUAAAUUGAAGACCCGAUACACUGAAAAUCAAUCAAAUUUGAUGCUGGGUCUAAAAAAAGGGUCAAUUGGACAAAUGAGGAACUAUGUCGAGGUUUUACGCUACGAUAUUUCAGUGUUCCUGGAUACCAAUAUAUUACAUAGAAUCUAUCGUUUUCGUUACCCAAAUUAUGCAGUCUCAGAAGGUACGCUUCAAAUAAGGACUUUCGUGAAGGAUUCUUGGAAACAGUAUUAUCGAUCUUAAAAGCGAAAUCGGAAACCGUGUCUGAAAGGGAUCGUGUUUGUGUAUUGCUUUAUGAUGAAAUGUCUUGCAGUGAAUUAUAUGAAUACGAUCGAAAGCACGACGAAGUUUUGGGACCUCAUUCUAAAAUGCAGGUCAUGAUGAUCCGUGGAUUGUUUCUGGACUGGAAACAAACUAUUAACGCAGGAUUCAAUGUGAGUAUGAGCCGCGCGUUGCUCCUAGAUUCUGUAACCAGAACAUUUGAAGCUGGCUUUGAAGUGGUGGCAACCACGUCCGAUUGCAGAGAAGGAAACGUGGCGAUUUGGUCCACUAUCGACCUAAAGAAAGAAACCUAAAGAAACUUAUCUACCAUCCAGUGAUCAAUCGUAAGCUUUUUCUAUUUGCUGAUGCCCCUCAUGUACCCAAGCUAGUUAGAAAUUGGUUGAUGGAUAGCGGAUUUUUGCUUGAAGAUGGAAGUCUGAUCAAACAUGAUCCUCUAUGGCAUCUUAUAAGAAAUUCUACCGAGAUAUCAGACACAUUUUUCUUAAUGAAGAACAUUUGACAUGCCAGCGAAGCCAGAGACAAAAAGUUGAUUGGGCUGCAAAGGUAUUAUCUAGAAAAUGUGUAACGGCAUUAAUACGUCGUGUAGGUACGAAUGAAGCGAUACAACUGUCACUAUGUUUAUUGGUUGUUAAUGAUUGGUGGGAUGUUUUAAAUUCACGAUGUCCUAAAGAGACUCAGCUUUUGAAAAAGCCAUAUGGGUUACACCAAAGUGAGCAGGAUGAAGCACUGGAUGCGAUCCAACGUCUGAUGUCUACAGCUGUUCCAGCGAACAAAACACGUAUCCAGCUGUUCCAGAAAGCUUUGCUAAUGUCAAUCAUAUCGCUACGAGCACUAUUCAAAGAAAUGAAAUUUCGAUUCGGUAUAUCGUAUAUAAUGACUGCUAAGCUUAAUCAAGAUGCAUUGGAAAACUUGUUCUCAAUGAUUCGUGUGCGAGGCAGAGGUUAUGAUCACCCGUCUCCGAUGGAAUGCCUACGACGGCUCAGAAUAAUAAUUCUUGGCAAAAGCCUUUUGUCAGUUUCUCCAGGCCAAUCCACAAACGAUGAAUGCGGUGACGAAGAAUUUCUAAUACUGAAAUCGCUGCGACUGAUAAAGUAUACAUCUAGGGAUGAGACGACCAUGACUGAUGCAGAUCAGCCAUGCCUACUGCGGACAACGAUCAUUUUUGCGAUGAAGUUUUGCAAGAAAACAAAGGGAUUGAGUGGCUCGACACAGAACGAGAUGGCUUCGAUUAUAUAGCUGGAGCGAUAGCUAGAAAGUUUAAGAACAAAUUCCCUUACGUUAGGGAUUAUACAUAUAAAGUGCGUGAACUGAGUACGUACACUUUACUGGAUCACGAUUAUGUAUACUUCAGGAUCUACGUACAGCAUCUCUUUAGGUGGAUUAGUAAAACCGUCAGAGGAAUGGUUGGAACAAGUUAAGCGUCGAGAGCAGGUUUUUAAAAGGUAUCAUAAGGAUUGUAUUUCGUAGGAAAAUGGAGUGGUAGCAAAUGUUCAUACAUUGGUAAACUCCAUAUAUCAUGAUAUCCCUGACGAUAUCAUUGAAUAUUUCAUUCGUCUUCGUGCCCAUAUUCAAAUUGCCACGCUUAAUAGGAUUGUUAAAGAGAAAAAAUAGAAGAAACUUUCCGUUAAAACCGGCGGACAAGCCAAUGAUUCCGGCACAGAAAAAGAUGCGAAAAAUUUUGAUGUGAUGCAUUUCAUGAAAUUCGUAGUUCGUCAAAAAACCUAAAAAUAAAACGCUAAUCUAAUCUAUCACACAUUGUUUAAGGCGGUUUAAUGUACCAAAUUCAAAAAUAAAAAUAUAUUUUUCA